This 353-nucleotide unclassified non-coding RNA is filed under the name uncultured fungus. Its description in RNAcentral is "partial contains 5.8S ribosomal RNA and internal transcribed spacer 2". The stretch from base 1 to 133 matches the Rfam family "5.8S ribosomal RNA", at positions 22 to 154 of the family's 154-position model. The record is from RNAcentral. Lineage: Eukaryota; Fungi.
UGGUUCUGGCAUCGAUGAAGAACGCAGCGAAAUGCGAUAAGUAAUGUGAAUUGCAGAAUUCAGUGAAUCAUCGAAUCUUUGAACGCACAUUGCACCCGGUGGUAUUCCGCCGGGUAUGCCUGUCCGAGCGCCAUUACAAAAACCAUUUCAAGCCUGGCUUGGUCAAUUGGGCUGCGAUUCUAGCAGUCUGUUAAUCCUGUAGCGUCACCUGUGGGUUCUAAGCGUAGUAAUUUCUCCUCGCUACAGAGCCUGCUGGUGGAUCGUGUAAUUCGGUGGGUGAUUCCACUGUGUCCAGCUAUCAAACCCCUGAGUUUUUUAAUGUUGACCUCGGAUCAAGUAGGGAUACCCGCUGA